RNAcentral lists this transfer RNA (84 nucleotides) under Ipomoea nil (Japanese morning glory). It matches the Rfam family "tRNA". From Rfam's summary of the family: Transfer RNA (tRNA) molecules are approximately 80 nucleotides in length. Their secondary structure includes four short double-helical elements and three loops (D, anti-codon, and T loops). The record is from Rfam by way of RNAcentral. Lineage: Eukaryota; Viridiplantae; Streptophyta; Magnoliopsida; Solanales; Convolvulaceae.
GUUUGGAUGGUUGAGUGGUCUAAGGCGCUAGACUCAUGUUUUAGUCCUUGUAAGUGGGCGUGGGUUCAAAUCCCACUUUUGACA